UUUCCGUAGGUGAACCUGCGGAAGGAUCAUUAUUGUAUAACCGAGGUGCGAGGGCUGUCGCUGACCCGAAAGGUCGUGCACGCCCGAGUGCCCUCACACACAUCCAUCUCACCCCUAUGUGCACCACCGCGUGGGUCCCCCUUUGGCUUGUUCGGAGGGGGGCUUACGUUUUCACACAAACUUUGUAUGCAGUGUAGAAUGUAUUUCUUGUUCUUGCGAUCACGCAAUCAAUACAACUUUCAACAACGGAUCUCUUGGCUCUC
This 263-nucleotide unclassified non-coding RNA is filed under the name plant metagenome. RNAcentral's name for it is "partial contains small subunit ribosomal RNA, internal transcribed spacer 1, and 5.8S ribosomal RNA". The record is from RNAcentral.